This 90-nucleotide unclassified non-coding RNA is filed under the name Mus musculus (house mouse). RNAcentral describes it as "partial mRNA fragment; expressed small RNA". Lineage: Eukaryota; Metazoa; Chordata; Mammalia; Rodentia; Muridae. The record is from RNAcentral.
CAUCAUUUCUCCUUCUCCUAGCAUCAUCAAUAGUAGAAGCAGGAGCAGGAACAGGAUGAACAGUCUACCCACCUCUAGCCGGAAAUCUAG